UGCAAGUCGAGCGGUAACAGGGGUAGCUUGCUACCCGCUGACGAGCGGCGGACGGGUGAGUAAUGCAUAGGAAUCUGCCCGGUAGUGGGGGAUAACCUGGGGAAACCCAGGCUAAUACCGCAUACGUCCUACGGGAGAAAGGGGGCUCCGGCUCCCGCUAUUGGAUGAGCCUAUGUCGGAUUAGCUAGUUGGUGAGGUAAAGGCUCACCAAGGCAACGAUCCGUAGCUGGUCUGAGAGGAUGAUCAGCCACAUCGGGACUGAGACACGGCCCGAACUCCUACGGGAGGCAGCAGUGGGGAAUAUUGGACAAUGGGGGCAACCCUGAUCCAGCCAUGCCGCGUGUGUGAAGAAGGCCCUCGGGUUGUAAAGCACUUUCAGCGAGGAAGAACGCCUAUCGGUUAAUACCCGAUAGGAAAGACAUCACUCGCAGAAGAAGCACCGGCUAACUCCGUGCCAGCAGCCGCGGUAAUACGGAGGGUGCAAGCGUUAAUCGGAAUUACUGGGCGUAAAGCGCGCGUAGGUGGCUUGAUAAGCCGGUUGUGAAAGCCCCGGGCUCAACCUGGGAACGGCAUCCGGAACUGUCAGGCUAGAGUGCAGGAGAGGAAGGUAGAAUUCCCGGUGUAGCGGUGAAAUGCGUAGAGAUCGGGAGGAAUACCAGUGGCGAAGGCGGCCUUCUGGACUGACACUGACACUGAGGUGCGAAAGCGUGGGUAGCAAACAGGAUUAGAUACCCUGGUAGUCCACGCCGUAAACGAUGUCGACCAGCCGUUGGGUGCCUAGAGCACUUUGUGGCGAAGUUAACGCGAUAAGUCGACCGCCUGGGGAGUACGGCCGCAAGGUUAAAACUCAAAUGAAUUGACGGGGGCCCGCACAAGCGGUGGAGCAUGUGGUUUAAUUCGAUGCAACGCGAAGAACCUUACCUACCCUUGACAUCUACAGAAGCCGGAAGAGAUUCUGGUGUGCCUUCGGGAACUGUAAGACAGGUGCUGCAUGGCUGUCGUCAGCUCGUGUUGUGAAAUGUUGGGUUAAGUCCCGUAACGAGCGCAACCCUUGUCCUUAUUUGCCAGCACGUAAUGGUGGGAACUCUAAGGA
This 1093-nucleotide ribosomal RNA is filed under the name Halomonas sp. CR-39. Its description in RNAcentral is "bacterial SSU rRNA". It matches the Rfam family "Bacterial small subunit ribosomal RNA", at positions 56 to 1146 of the family's 1533-position model. Lineage: Bacteria; Pseudomonadati; Pseudomonadota; Gammaproteobacteria; Oceanospirillales; Halomonadaceae. The record is from RNAcentral.